RNAcentral lists this ribosomal RNA (345 nucleotides) under uncultured bacterium. RNAcentral's name for it is "bacterial SSU rRNA". It matches the Rfam family "Bacterial small subunit ribosomal RNA", at positions 8 to 334 of the family's 1533-position model. The record is from RNAcentral.
AGAGUUUGAUUCUGGCUCAGGACGAACGCUGGCGGCGUGCUUAACACAUGCAAGUCGAACGAAGCUUGAUUUAUGAUUUCUUCGGAAUGAAUAAUGAUAUGACUGAGUGGCGGACGGGUGAGUAACGCGUGAGCAACCUGCCCUUCGGAGGGGGAUAGCGUCUGGAAACGGACGGUAAUACCGCAUAAAGUGUCUUGACCGCAUGAUCGAGAUACCAAAACUGAGGUGCCGAAGGAUGGGCUCGCGUUGGAUUAGAUAGUUGGUGGGGUAACGGCCUACCAAGUCGACGAUCCAUAGCCGGACUGAGAGGUUGAACGGCCACAUUGGGACUGAGACACGGCCCAG